RNAcentral lists this long non-coding RNA (246 nucleotides) under Setaria italica (foxtail millet). RNAcentral's name for it is "long non-coding RNA (SITA_LNC005689)". Lineage: Eukaryota; Viridiplantae; Streptophyta; Magnoliopsida; Poales; Poaceae. The record is from RNAcentral.
CAAGAUCAAUCUAGUCAAAGCGGCACGUUCGUUGUCCUAUGCUGACUAGCAAGCAAGAUCGACGAGUUGAUUUGCCUAAAACCGAUGGAUUUUGCAUCGUGGGCAGUGUCAAGUCCAAGAUGGAGUCUGAUCCCAUCAGAGCUCUGAGUUCAAAUCCGUGGAAUUAUGCUACGCGCACACAGAAGAGGCCACCAGAAGAUUUCAAGUGCUUUCCGGCAACACCAACAAUUAGCAACGCUGACUCGU